RNAcentral lists this ribosomal RNA (1372 nucleotides) under uncultured bacterium. Its description in RNAcentral is "bacterial SSU rRNA". It matches the Rfam family "Bacterial small subunit ribosomal RNA", at positions 28 to 1381 of the family's 1533-position model. The record is from RNAcentral.
GAUGAACGCUGGCGGCGUGCCUAAUACAUGCAAGUCGAGCGAACGGACGAGAAGCUUGCUUCUCUGAUGUUAGCGGCGGACGGGUGAGUAACACGUGGAUAACCUACCUAUAAGACUGGGAUAACUUCGGGAAACCGGAGCUAAUACCGGAUAAUAUUUUGAACCGCAUGGUUCAAAAGUGAAAGACGGUCUUGCUGUCACUUAUAGAUGGAUCCGCGCUGCAUUAGCUAGUUGGUAAGGUAACGGCUUACCAAGGCAACGAUGCAUAGCCGACCUGAGAGGGUGAUCGGCCACACUGGAACUGAGACACGGUCCAGACUCCUACGGGAGGCAGCAGUAGGGAAUCUUCCGCAAUGGGCGAAAGCCUGACGGAGCAACGCCGCGUGAGUGAUGAAGGUCUUCGGAUCGUAAAACUCUGUUAUUAGGGAAGAACAUAUGUGUAAGUAACUGUGCACAUCUUGACGGUACCUAACCAGAAAGCCACGGCUAACUACGUGCCAGCAGCCGCGGUAAUACGUAGGUGGCAAGCGUUAUCCGGAAUUAUUGGGCGUAAAGCGCGCGUAGGCGGUUUUUUAAGUCUGAUGUGAAAGCCCACGGCUCAACCGUGGAGGGUCAUUGGAAACUGGAAAACUUGAGUGCAGAAGAGGAAAGUGGAAUUCCAUGUGUAGCGGUGAAAUGCGCAGAGAUAUGGAGGAACACCAGUGGCGAAGGCGACUUUCUGGUCUGUAACUGACGCUGAUGUGCGAAAGCGUGGGGAUCAAACAGGAUUAGAUACCCUGGUAGUCCACGCCGUAAACGAUGAGUGCUAAGUGUUAGGGGGUUUCCGCCCCUUAGUGCUGCAGCUAACGCAUUAAGCACUCCGCCUGGGGAGUACGACCGCAAGGUUGAAACUCAAAGGAAUUGACGGGGACCCGCACAAGCGGUGGAGCAUGUGGUUUAAUUCGAAGCAACGCGAAGAACCUUACCAAAUCUUGACAUCCUUUGACAACUCUAGAGAUAGAGCUUUCCCCUUCGGGGGACAAAGUGACAGGUGGUGCAUGGUUGUCGUCAGCUCGUGUCGUGAGAUGUUGGGUUAAGUCCCGCAACGAGCGCAACCCUUAAGCUUAGUUGCCAUCAUUAAGUUGGGCACUCUAAGUUGACUGCCGGUGACAAACCGGAGGAAGGUGGGGAUGACGUCAAAUCAUCAUGCCCCUUAUGAUUUGGGCUACACACGUGCUACAAUGGACAAUACAAAGGGCAGCGAAACCGUGAGGUCAAGCAAAUCCCAUAAAGUUGUUCUCAGUUCGGAUUGUAGUCUGCAACUCGACUACAUGAAGCUGGAAUCGCUAGUAAUCGUAGAUCAGCAUGCUACGGUGAAUACGUUCCCGGGUCU